UAAAUGAAUUCCAUGCGUUUUCUUCCUUUCCCUUCCCUGCCUUCGUGAAAGGGAAGCUAAGUCUUUCUUCUGCCCCAGAUUCCUUGAAGGCUGUCUGAGUUCUGUCUUCCUUCCCCUGCAUAGAGAAUAAGCUGGUCUCCGAUUUCAGGUACAAGGAAAUGCUAGAACUAGUG
Molecule: small RNA, 173 nt
Filed under: Pongo abelii (Sumatran orangutan)
Lineage: Eukaryota; Metazoa; Chordata; Mammalia; Primates; Hominidae
Description: processed transcript
Source: RNAcentral